UGUUUCCCUGAUCAGUCUAGGAUUUUUCCUGAUUACAUCUUUGACUUCCUGUGUGAUGUCUACUUGACUAGCUUGCCUUUGCUCUACAUUUUGACUGUUCUUUAUUUCCUCCUGCUGCUUAAGUAUCUCAGUAAAGGUAGUUUUUAUUUCAUCCUUAAAUGAGUGUACCUUGUCAACUGAUUCUUCAAACUCCUUCUCUUUUUGCAAAAUGGUAAUUGCCUGCUUGAUCACUUCAUUUUCUUCUUUUUCUUUCAGUUUCAAGUUGCAUUGAUACAUAUCCGCACCCAUUUCUUUAAUUUUUCUUUCAUGUCACUUAUUUCUGCCAACAAUUCACUGAUUUGGCCAACUUUUCUAUAACUUCUCUGGUAAGCUUAUCUACCUUUUCCUUUAAUUUCUCAUUUUCCUUCUUAUUUUCCUCUGCCUUAGCCUCCACACUCUCUACUCUAUCAAUAAGACUUUUCACUCCCUCCAUGUCCUUCCUGUGCCUCGUAAAGUGGGACAUUUAUUAACAGUGUAUUUACCUAGUUAUAGUUUUACAGGGCCUGGGCGUUACGCUCGUGUGGUCCUGUCUCCGUAUCUACAGUUAUCCAACUUUUCCUUAAAGCUUUGCACACUCCUCGCCGAUACUACAUCCUCACUUAGUCCGUUCCAAACCUCUAUAUUUCUUUGUGGGAAGCUAUAUUUCUUUAUGUCUCAAGCAUCUUCCCUUCCUCGGAUUUUUACUAUGUCCUCUUGUGUUCCUGUUGGUAAUUUCUUCUAUUAGUAGUAACUCUUCAUUGUGUGUGUGUGUGUGUGUGUGUGUGUGUGUGUGUGUGUGUGUGAAGGGAGAGGUUUUGUGUCCGGAUGUUUCACUUACUCGUCCUGUCCAGUGUGAACACGAGUUGGCAGUGUAGAGAGUAUGAAUGUGUAUAGUUUCUGAUGCACGAGUCGUCUGUCACCACCCCCGACUCCUGCAGCCACAGUGCUUACGUUCUUCUGUACUGUGGCAGAGCUUUGUGGCAUGGGCGAGGCAGUAGGAACAGCAGCAGCACAUAUUAGGCGCUGCCCUUUUGACGUGGCUGGGAAGAGCGCAUGCGGGCGUGGGUGUGUGGCCAGGACGCCGGGAUCCGGGCGGAGCAACACGUGGUCAGUAGGGCCGGGGACGCUCUGCCGUGUGGAGCUUCAGCCGCUCAGUUCGGGAGGCUGUAGCGCUCCGGCUGUUCGCGACCCUUGGCUUGUGUGGCUCCUCAAGCGACGGUGGAUCUUCGUUAAUUACAUUAUGGGUGAAGAAGCUGAUGACUGUUGAAGGUAGCGUGAGUGCUCCAGCAAGUAAUAAUCUUCUGAGAAGACAGUGACGUGAUUGGAAACGAUUGGUACAAGGAACUGUGCUGGCGGUAGUUGCGGUCCGCGGCAAGUGUGUGUGUGCCAGGCGUACAUAUGAGUAAGGGGCGUAAUCUGGCGGGGGUGUGGGAUAUGGGGCGACCACCCAACUCCCCGCCAGCCCUGUUGCUGAUGAUGAUGAUAAUGGCGGCAGCGAGAACCUGCUUGUCCCAGGCCGCCACCGCCUCCCCACAGGUCACAGGGAACAAGCUACUCCUCCACCUUUCCCAAGACUUGCGUGAGUCCGACACACGCCUGCCCCAGGAGGG
This is a long non-coding RNA of Eriocheir sinensis (Chinese mitten crab), 1628 nucleotides long. RefSeq lists it as uncharacterized. The record is from RefSeq and is a predicted model, not a curated record. The transcript has 3 exons. Lineage: Eukaryota; Metazoa; Arthropoda; Malacostraca; Decapoda; Varunidae.